AAAUUGAAGAGUUUGAUCAUGGCUCAGAUUGAACGCUGGCGGCAGGCCUAACACAUGCAAGUCGAGCGGUAGCACAGAGAGCUUGCUCUCGGGUGACGAGCGGCGGACGGGUGAGUAAUGUCUGGGAAACUGCCUGAUGGAGGGGGAUAACUACUGGAAACGGUAGCUAAUACCGCAUAACGUCGCAAGACCAAAGUGGGGACCUUCGGGCCUCAUGCCAUCAGAUGUGCCCAGAUGGGAUUAGCUAGUAGGUGGGGUAAUGGCUCACCUAGGCGACGAUCCCUAGCUGGUCUGAGAGGAUGACCAGCCACACUGGAACUGAGACACGGUCCAGACUCCUACGGGAGGCAGCAGUGGGGAAUAUUGCACAAUGGGCGCAAGCCUGAUGCAGCCAUGCCGCGUGUGUGAAGAAGGCCUUCGGGUUGUAAAGCACUUUCAGCGGGGAGGAAGGCGUUAAGGUUAAUAACCUUGGCGAUUGACGUUACCCGCAGAAGAAGCACCGGCUAACUCCGUGCCAGCAGCCGCGGUAAUACGGAGGGUGCAAGCGUUAAUCGGAAUUACUGGGCGUAAAGCGCACGCAGGCGGUCUGUCAAGUCGGAUGUGAAAUCCCCGGGCUCAACCUGGGAACUGCAUUCGAAACUGGCAGGCUAGAGUCUUGUAGAGGGGGUAGAAUUCCAGGUGUAGCGGUGAAAUGCGUAGAGAUCUGGAGGAAUACCGGUGGCGAAGGCGGCCCCCUGGACAAAGACUGACGCUCAGGUGCGAAAGCGUGGGGAGCAAACAGGAUUAGAUACCCUGGUAGUCCACGCCGUAAACGAUGUCGAUUUGGAGGUUGUGCCCUUGAGGCGUGGCUUCCGGAGCUAACGCGUUAAAUCGACCGCCUGGGGAGUACGGCCGCAAGGUUAAAACUCAAAUGAAUUGACGGGGGCCCGCACAAGCGGUGGAGCAUGUGGUUUAAUUCGAUGCAACGCGAAGAACCUUACCUGGUCUUGACAUCCACAGAACUUUCCAGAGAUGGAUUGGUGCCUUCGGGAACUGUGAGACAGGUGCUGCAUGGCUGUCGUCAGCUCGUGUUGUGAAAUGUUGGGUUAAGUCCCGCAACGAGCGCAACCCUUAUCCUUUGUUGCCAGCGGUUCGGCCGGGAACUCAAAGGAGACUGCCAGUGAUAAACUGGAGGAAGGUGGGGAUGACGUCAAGUCAUCAUGGCCCUUACGACCAGGGCUACACACGUGCUACAAUGGCAUAUACAAAGAGAAGCGACCUCGCGAGAGCAAGCGGACCUCAUAAAGUAUGUCGUAGUCCGGAUUGGAGUCUGCAACUCGACUCCAUGAAGUCGGAAUCGCUAGUAAUCGUAGAUCAGAAUGCUACGGUGAAUACGUUCCCGGGCCUUGUACACACCGCCCGUCACACCAUGGGAGUGGGUUGCAAAAGAAGUAGGUAGCUUAACCUUCGGGAGGGCGCUUACCACUUUGUGAUUCAUGACUGGGGUGAAGUCGUAACAAGGUAACCGUAGGGGAACCUGCGGUUGGAUCACCUCCUUA
RNAcentral lists this ribosomal RNA (1538 nucleotides) under Klebsiella pneumoniae. RNAcentral describes it as "bacterial SSU rRNA". It matches the Rfam family "Bacterial small subunit ribosomal RNA". The record is from RNAcentral. Lineage: Bacteria; Pseudomonadati; Pseudomonadota; Gammaproteobacteria; Enterobacterales; Enterobacteriaceae.